GCGGGCGUGGUGGAAUUGGUAGACACGCCGGCUUUAGGAGCCGGUGGGCGCUAGCCCUUGGAGGUUCGAGUCCUCUCGCCCGCA
Molecule: transfer RNA, 84 nt
Filed under: Actinomycetes bacterium
Lineage: Bacteria; Bacillati; Actinomycetota; Actinomycetes
Also listed under: 1 other name
Description: Actinobacteria bacterium tRNA-Leu
Rfam family: tRNA
About the family: Transfer RNA (tRNA) molecules are approximately 80 nucleotides in length.
Source: RNAcentral